UACGAAGGUCCCAAGCGUUAUCCGGAAUUAUUGGGCGUAAAGAGCAUGUAGGCGGUUUACUAAGUUCGAUGUGAAAGCUCUAGGCCUAACCUAGAAAUUGCAUUGAAAACUGGUGAACUAGAAUACUGGAGGGGCAAGUGGAAUUCCAUGUGUAGCGGUGGAAUGCGUAGAGAUGUGGAGGAACACCGAUGGCGAAGGCAGCCCCCUGGGCUGAGAUUGACGCUCAGGCACGAAAGCGUGGGGAGCAAACAGG
RNAcentral lists this ribosomal RNA (253 nucleotides) under uncultured bacterium. RNAcentral's name for it is "partial 16S ribosomal RNA". It matches the Rfam family "Bacterial small subunit ribosomal RNA", at positions 524 to 776 of the family's 1533-position model. The record is from RNAcentral.